RNAcentral lists this unclassified non-coding RNA (288 nucleotides) under Helicoverpa zea (corn earworm). RNAcentral describes it as "chromatin complexes subunit BAP18-like, transcript variant X1". Lineage: Eukaryota; Metazoa; Arthropoda; Insecta; Lepidoptera; Noctuidae. The record is from RNAcentral.
GGUAUAUCGUAUAUUCUGAAAAAUCAAUCAAGCUAGCAUCUAGGCAUCCUUUGUGAAUCUAGGCGCCUGGCUCCAGGCCCGCGCGUCAGUUUUUCGUCGACCUGCAAGUCGUUAACAGUGUAUCACAGUGACGAUCUGAAUUAAUUAAAUAGAGGAAAAUGGACGGAGGAAGAAGUGGAAAUGCUUAGAGGCUGCAUUAAGCGGUUUGCAGAGGAAUUGAAUAAGAUAACUCACCAUAUAAAAACUCGAACCAUAAACCGGCUUCGCACCAACUUGAAGGAAAAAGCG